RNAcentral lists this long non-coding RNA (3321 nucleotides) under Homo sapiens (human). Its description in RNAcentral is "HSALNT0368141". The record is from RNAcentral. Lineage: Eukaryota; Metazoa; Chordata; Mammalia; Primates; Hominidae.
AGCUGCCUUGACUGAGUAAGUCAGAGAAGGCUUCCUGGAGGAGAGCGAAGGGUGUGGGGCUGGGUUGAGAUACAGGAAGAUCUGGGUUUGAAUUAUAGUUUGGCUGCUUCCUAGCUGUUUGAUCUUGGACAAAACUUUCAUUCAUUCUAUAUUUUUUGGAGUGUCUACUCCAUGCCAAUCAUGUGUGAAAUGUUGGGAUAACAAAGGCGAAUUCAAUCUGGCUCUCGUCCUCGGAGCUUAAGCAAAUCAUCUGGGGUAGCGUGACCCAUGCUACGAUGGAGGUGGAAUACGGGGCUGCAGGGCGGGGCCACAGGACAUAGUGGGCAGCUUAACCUCCUUGAGCCUCCCUAUCCCUAAUUCACGUGAUGGGGUUUGUAACCACUUCUCACAUCGUUGAGAGAAAAGGGUGAGCCUGACUCAGAGGUGUGGCAAAGGAAGGGCAGGGCAGGCUUUAAGGACAGGGACAGGGCUGUCAGAGGCUGAGGCUAGGGAGGGGCAGGAAGGGGUGUGAGGCAGGGCGGAAGAGAGCAGGGCCCUGGGCAGGUGCUGAGCCAGGUCCUGCAGGUCACCCAGUCGCUUGAGUCCACGAAUGCUGGAGGCAGGCACUGGAGAGCCAGGGUGGUUCAGCCGCAGCUCCUCUGAGCAGGGAGUCAAACAGGGCUGAAACAGACACCAGCUCUCCAGGACCAGCUGCUCCAGGAAUCAACCUCUACCCUGAACCAGGUCCCUGAGGACCACCACGUGGCUGCAACACAGCAGGUGUGGGGCAGGGCACAAGUGGGCUUAAGGGGGGUAUAAGGGCUGGCAGUUUGCUCAUUGAUUCACUCAACAAACAUGUACUGAGCACCUCUAAAGGGCCAGGGCCUGUGCUAGGCACUGCGGUGCCAUGGUGAGCAAAUCCAGAAAUGGACCCUGCCCUCUAGGAGUUCACAGUCCAGAGGAGAAGCCCGAUGCUGAACAGAGAAUCACAUCCGUGAGCAACACAAAAGGCAAGGCAAACCCUGGGCAGAUGCCCCCGGGACUGUGUGUUAUGGGCCUACAGGAAGCCUCUCCCAAUGAAAAAGCAAUUUUUCAGCCAGAACCUCCACCAGUGUCUUUCAAACUGUGAGUGGCAACCCAUUUGUGGGUCAUAAAAUCAAUUUAGUAGUUGUGACCUGAAUUACUUGUUAGUGAAAUAGAGAGGAAUUUACAACAUCACACUUAGGAAAUACUGUUUUGUGAAAUGUUAGUUUCAGUUAUCUAUCUAUCUAUCUGUCUGUCUGAGAGAUCAUGUUUAUUAGUUAAGAUAUUAAAUGUAUUUCUUACUGCAGGUCUCAAUCAAAAACCUCUGAAAGCCACUGGCCUAGAGUUAGAGGAAGAGUUAGCCAUGAGAAAUGGUGGUGACACAGGUUCCAAAAGAAGAAACAAUAGGUAUCAGGCUCAGAGAUGAAAGGGCUAGAAGGAGGACACACCAAGUUCAAGGUCUGGCCUUUCUCGAGGGCAGUGGGGAGCCAUGGGAGGUUAGCAAGAUCCCAUCUUCUUCAUCCCUGGGCCUCACCCCAUGGGCAGGAGGGAAAUGGCAGGAAGUUGUCUUUGUGUCUCCCCAGGAGCCUGGACCUGUGGCCUUCCCUGCCUCCACCUGGGCCUCAACCGUCACGACCACCUGGCCUUUGAGGUAGGGUUUGGAGAAGGAAGUCAGCCUAUUAUCAGGAGAAGGCUUGAAUUUCUAUAUUCAUAGCUUGUUUCUGUCACUUACUAGCCUUGUGAUCAUGGGCAACUUGUCUAAUCUCUGUCCCUCAGUUUCCUCCUUUGUAAAAUAGGUCUCAUAGAACUCAUCCCCAAAAGUCCUUGUGAAGAUUUAGUUUGUAAGCCAGAUGUCUGCAGACCUCCAGUAAAAGAAUAUGUUUUUGGUAUUAGUAUGUAUGUCCCAAAUAUUGCUUGGAAUAUGCUUAUACAAACAAAAAUCAUUUGUUUUUUAUCUGAAAUUCAAAUUUACCUGGAUGUCCUGUAUUUUAUCUGGAAACCCUACACAGAAAUCAAAUGGCUCACGCUGUGUCUCAGAGCUGCAACGAUCCAACGCCCUCCAUCCUUCAGAGGCUGUCUGAGUCCGGGGACACAACUCCCACCCUCCUCUCCUGCCAGCCGCGGCCCGUGGCUGCUCUCUUCACUUCGUCCCGCUUCGCCCCGACUGUGGAUCUACCCGCUCCCUUCUCCCUCAGUCCCCAAAGCACCAGACUCACAGGCCUGCUGUGUGACCCACUUUUACCGACCUUUCGGGGAGAGUAGAGGGCAUUUGUGACUCAGCUCAGAGCAGGAAACACAUCUCACGUCAACUGUCAGACAGCGCUGCUCCGAAUCCCAUCACAGUGCUCCAGCAGGGGGCGUCCUCACCGGCCGCGGCCACAGCCACGGCUCAACCCGGCCUAGCUCCCAGACACCCUCCUUCCACCGCCUGUUUUCCACCGUCCCCGCCUGCUCUUUCAAGCCAGCAGCAAACAACACCCUAAUCCGUGUCUUUAUUAUUCAAAGACCUUAAGCACUCUUUCCCACCUCGUUCCCAUCUUGAUUAUUUCAGGGAAUGAAUUAGGGAUUCACCUUUACAAUCAAAAAAGUUCUCUCAAAGCCAGGCUACUGGAGUUCUAAUUCUGCCUUCCCACUUUUACUAGCUGUGAAAUCUCAGGAAAGUUACUUAACCUCUCUCUGUCUCAUUUUCCUCAUCUUUAAAAAACAGGAUGAUAAUAUUUAGCUCCUAAGAUGGUUGUGAGGAUUUAAGUGAGCUGAUAUAUCCAAGAAUGUCUAGAACAGCGCGUGGCAGAAUGGGCAUUGCAUAUGGGUUUAAUCUUGUAACUGCCAUGUUUCACCAAUUCUAAGGUGUAUCUCGUUUCUCAUCAUAAGAGCUCUUCCGCUCGUGUGGCAGCUGGGAGUGGCCGUCAUUGCCUGCGCAUACCUAAACUUGGUCAGCAGCCAAGUGUUUUGUGAGACCUAAGAAAGGAAGAGCCCCAUAAGUAAAUGGAACUGUUGUGUUGUUUUAUUACCGAGAAAAGGGCAGAAUGAUUGCUAGUCACACGUGAAGCAAGAAAACCCCGGCAAUAAAGCUUGCAGAAUGAGUGGCUGAGGCUUGAAAAUAAAUGGUGGAAACAAUAGUGGACAAUCUUUUAAAGAAUGGCACAUUGCCAAUGCUCCUGAUGGCACAGAAGGUGACACCAUGCAGAAAAUCAAGGCUCUGAGUCAAAGAGGGUUUCAGAAAAAUUGGACUCUGAAUGUGAAGAAAUCUGGGGACUAUUUUAGCCAAUUUGUUUUGCCUAUAAUUUCCUUUUAUGCAUGCAAAAGAGCAAUUCUGAC